UACGUAGGGGGCAAGCGUUGUCCGGAUUCAUUGGGCGUAAAGAGCGUGUAGGCGGCCAGGUAGGUCGGUUGUGAAAACUGGAGGCUCAACCUUCAGACGUCGACCGAAACCAUCUGGCUAGAGUCCGGGAGAGGAGAGUGGAAUUCCUGGUGUAGCGGUGAAAUGCGCAGAUAUCAGGAAGAACACCCGUGGCGAAAGCGGCUCUCUGGAACGGUACUGACGCUGAGACGCGAAAGCGUGGGGAG
RNAcentral lists this ribosomal RNA (245 nucleotides) under uncultured Gaiella sp. RNAcentral describes it as "partial 16S ribosomal RNA". It matches the Rfam family "Bacterial small subunit ribosomal RNA", at positions 524 to 768 of the family's 1533-position model. The record is from RNAcentral. Lineage: Bacteria; Bacillati; Actinomycetota; Thermoleophilia; Gaiellales; Gaiellaceae.